AGAGUUUCGAUCCUCGGCUCAGGACGAACGCUGGCGGCGUGCUUAACACAUGCAAGUCGAACGGAAGGCCCUGCUUUUGUGGGGUGCUCGAGUGGCGAACGGGUGAGUAACACGUGAGUAACCUGCCCUUGACUUUGGGAUAACUUCAGGAACUGGGGCUAAUACCGGAUAGGAGCUCCUGCUGCAUGGUGGGGGUUGGAAAGUUUCGGCGGUUGGGGAUGGACUCGCGGCUUAUCAGCUUGUUGGUGGGGUAGUGGCUUACCAAGGCUUUGACGGGUAGCCGGCCUGAGAGGGUGACCGGCCACAUUGGGACUGAGAUACGGCCCAGACUCCUACGGGAGGCAGCAGUGGGGAAUAUUGCACAAUGGGCGGAAGCCUGAUGCAGCAACGCCGCGUGCGGGAUGACGGCCUUCGGGUUGUAAACCGCUUUCGCCUGUGAUGAAGCGUGAGUGACGGUAAUGGGUAAAGAAGCACCGGCUAACUACGUG
RNAcentral lists this ribosomal RNA (488 nucleotides) under uncultured Propionibacterium sp. Its description in RNAcentral is "bacterial SSU rRNA". It matches the Rfam family "Bacterial small subunit ribosomal RNA", at positions 8 to 507 of the family's 1533-position model. Lineage: Bacteria; Bacillati; Actinomycetota; Actinomycetes; Propionibacteriales; Propionibacteriaceae. The record is from RNAcentral.